Pteronotus mesoamericanus is the source of this 71-nucleotide small nucleolar RNA. RefSeq annotates it as small nucleolar RNA SNORD73. The record is from RefSeq and is a predicted model, not a curated record. NCBI's taxonomy places the organism in Eukaryota, Metazoa, Chordata, Mammalia, Chiroptera, Mormoopidae. The transcript has a single exon.
AGUGAAUGGAGACAAUAUUUUGGUCCCAGAUGAUACAUUCUGAUUAUAUAAUUAUGUUUAUUUAUGACAUU